CCUACGGGUGGCUGCAGUGAGGAAUCUUGGUCAAUGGCCGGGAGGCUGAACCAGCCAAGUCGCGUGAGGGAAGACGGCCCUACGGGUUGUAAACCUCUUUUGUCAGGGAGCAAGGUGCAGGUCGGGACCUGCUGUGAGAGGACCUGAAGAAAAAGCAUCGGAUAACUCCGGGCCAGCAGCCGCGGUAAUACGGAGGAUGCGAGCGUGAUCCGGAUUUAGUGGGUUUAACGGGUGCGCAGGCGGAGGCACAAGUCAGCGGGAAAAUCGCGGGGCUCAACCCCGCUCCGCCGUUGAAACUGUGUGCCUUGAGUGCGCGAAGGGUAGGCGGAAUGCGUGGUGUAGCGGUGAAAUGCAUAGAUAUCACGCAGAACUCCGAUGGCGAAGGCAGCCUACCGGCGCGCAACUGACGCUCAUGCACGAAAGCGUGGGUAUCGAACAGGAUUAGAUACCCGAGUAGUC
RNAcentral lists this ribosomal RNA (459 nucleotides) under uncultured bacterium. RNAcentral's name for it is "partial 16S ribosomal RNA". It matches the Rfam family "Bacterial small subunit ribosomal RNA", at positions 338 to 795 of the family's 1533-position model. The record is from RNAcentral.